CCUACGGGGGGCAGCAGUGAGGAAUAUUGGUCAAUGGGCGGGAGCCUGAACCAGCCAAGUCGCGUGAAGGAAGAAGGUACUUAGUAUUGUAAACUUCUUUUGUCGGGGAACAAAGGCGGAGACGCGUCUCCGGAUGAGUGUACCCGAAGAAAAGGCAUCGGCUAACUCCGUGCCAGCAGCCGCGGUAAUACGGAGGAUGCGAGCGUUAUCCGGAUUUAUUGGGUUUAAAGGGUGCGCAGGCGGGAGAUCAAGUCAGCGGUAAAAUGUCGGGGCUCAACCAUUCAGACUAUUAGCUAAACUGUUAAGCUCGAGACCGUUAGGGGUAACUGGAAUUUCUAGUGUAGGAGUGAAAUCCGUAGAUAUUAGAAGGAACACCAAUAGCGUAGGCAGGUUGCUGGGACGGUUCUGACACUAAGGCACGAAAGCGUAGGGAGCAAACGGGAUUAGAUACCCCUGUAGUC
This 461-nucleotide ribosomal RNA is filed under the name uncultured bacterium. RNAcentral describes it as "partial 16S ribosomal RNA". It matches the Rfam family "Bacterial small subunit ribosomal RNA", at positions 338 to 795 of the family's 1533-position model. The record is from RNAcentral.